CGGGGGAACGCAGGCUCCCCGUCAGACGGCCACCGUCCAAGGACUGC
Molecule: non-coding RNA, 47 nt
Filed under: unclassified sequences
Description: chromate-resist RNA
Rfam family: chrB-b RNA
Source: RNAcentral